GGGUUGUGAGGUUAAGCGACUAAGCGUACACGGUGGAUGCCCUGGCAGUCAGAGGCGAUGAAGGGCGUGCUAAUCUGCGAUAAGCGCCGGUAAGGUGAUAUGAACCGUUAUAACCGGCGAUACCCGAAUGGGGAAACCCAGUGUGACUCGUCACACUAUCAUUAACUGAAUCCAUAGGUUAAUGAGGCGAACCGGGGGAACUGAAACAUCUAAGUACCCCGAGGAAAAGAAAUCAACCGAGAUUCCCCCAGUAGCGGCGAGCGAACGGGGAGGAGCCCAGAGCCUGAAUCAGCAUGUGUGUUAGUGGAAGCGUCUGGAAAGGCGCGCGAUACAGGGUGACAGCCCCGUACACAAAAGCGCAUGUGCUGUGAGCUCGAUGAGUAGGGCGGGACACGUGGUAUCCUGUCUGAAUAUGGGGGGACCAUCCUCCAAGGCUAAAUACUCCUGACUGACCGAUAGUGAACCAGUACCGUGAGGGAAAGGCGAAAAGAACCCCGGCGAGGGGAGUGAAAAAGAACCUGAAACCGUGUACGUACAAGCAGUGGGAGCCCCACCACUAAGCCAGUGGUGAACUCCACAUACGCAUCCUUUGCUGAGGAUACGGUUAACGGAGCGAAAGCGACGUUCAACCGCAAAAGAAGCAGAGGGGGCUUAGUGGUGGGGUGACUGCGUACCUUUUGUAUAAUGGGUCAGCGACUUAUAUUCUGUAGCAAGGUUAACCGCAUAGGGGAGCCGGAGGGAAACCGAGUCUUAAUUGGGCGUUAAGUUGCAGGGUAUAGACCCGAAACCCGGUGAUCUAGCCAUGGGCAGGUUGAAGGUUGGGUAACACUAACUGGAGGACCGAACCGACUAAUGUUGAAAAAUUAGCGGAUGACCUGUGGCUGGGGGUGAAAGGCCAAUCAAACCGGGAGAUAGCUGGUUCUCCCCGAAAGCUAUUUAGGUAGCGCCUCGUGAAUUCAUCUCCGGGGGUAGAGCACUGUUUCGGCUAGGGGGCCAUCCCGGCUUACCAACCCGAUGCAAACUGCGAAUACCGGAGAAUGUUAUCACGGGAGACACACGGCGGGUGCUAACGUCCGUCGUGAAGAGGGAAACAACCCAGACCGCCAGCUAAGGUCCCAAAGUCAUGGUUAAGUGGGAAACGAUGUGGGAAGGCCCAGACAGCCAGGAUGUUGGCUUAGAAGCAGCCAUCAUUUAAAGAAAGCGUAAUAGCUCACUGGUCGAGUCGGCCUGCGCGGAAGAUGUAACGGGGCUAAACCAUGCACCGAAGCUGCGGCAGCGACACUCAGGUGUUGUUGGGUAGGGGAGCGUUCUGUAAGCCUGUGAAGGUGGCCUGUGAGGGUUGCUGGAGGUAUCAGAAGUGCGAAUGCUGACAUAAGUAACGAUAAAGCGGGUGAAAAGCCCGCUCGCCGGAAGACCAAGGGUUCCUGUCCAACGUUAAUCGGGGCAGGGUGAGUCGACCCCUAAGGCGAGGCCGAAAGGCGUAGUCGAUGGGAAACGGGUUAAUAUUCCCGUACUUGGUGUUACUGCGAAGGGGGGACGGAGAAGGCUAUGUUGGCCGGGCGACGGUUGUCCCGGUUUAAGCGUGUAGGUGUGUGUUCCAGGUAAAUCCGGUUCACUUUAACACUGAGGCGUGACGACGAGGCACUACGGUGCUGAAGCAACAAAUGCCCUGCUUCCAGGAAAAGCCUCUAAGCAUCAGGUAACAUCAAAUCGUACCCCAAACCGACACAGGUGGUCAGGUAGAGAAUACCAAGGCGCUUGAGAGAACUCGGGUGAAGGAACUAGGCAAAAUGGUGCCGUAACUUCGGGAGAAGGCACGCUGACACGUAGGUGAAGUGAUUUACUCAUGGAGCUGAAGUCAGUCGAAGAUACCAGCUGGCUGCAACUGUUUAUUAAAAACACAGCACUGUGCAAACACGAAAGUGGACGUAUACGGUGUGACGCCUGCCCGGUGCCGGAAGGUUAAUUGAUGGGGUCAGCGCAAGCGAAGCUCCUGAUCGAAGCCCCGGUAAACGGCGGCCGUAACUAUAACGGUCCUAAGGUAGCGAAAUUCCUUGUCGGGUAAGUUCCGACCUGCACGAAUGGCGUAAUGAUGGCCAGGCUGUCUCCACCCGAGACUCAGUGAAAUUGAACUCGCUGUGAAGAUGCAGUGUACCCGCGGCAAGACGGAAAGACCCCGUGAACCUUUACUAUAGCUUGACACUGAACAUUGAGCCUUGAUGUGUAGGAUAGGUGGGAGGCUUUGAAGUGUGGACGCCAGUCUGCAUGGAGCCGACCUUGAAAUACCACCCUUUGAUGUUUGAUGUUCUAACGUGGACCCGUUACCCGGGUUGCGGACAGUGUCUGGUGGGUAGUUUGACUGGGGCGGUCUCCUCCUAAAGAGUAACGGAGGAGCACGAAGGUUGGCUAAUCCUGGUCGGACAUCAGGAGGUUAGUGCAAUGGCAUAAGCCAGCUUGACUGCGAGCGUGACGGCGCGAGCAGGUGCGAAAGCAGGUCAUAGUGAUCCGGUGGUUCUGAAUGGAAGGGCCAUCGCUCAACGGAUAAAAGGUACUCCGGGGAUAACAGGCUGAUACCGCCCAAGAGUUCAUAUCGACGGCGGUGUUUGGCACCUCGAUGUCGGCUCAUCACAUCCUGGGGCUGAAGUAGGUCCCAAGGGUAUGGCUGUUCGCCAUUUAAAGUGGUACGCGAGCUGGGUUUAGAACGUCGUGAGACAGUUCGGUCCCUAUCUGCCGUGGGCGCUGGAGAACUGAGGGGGGCUGCUCCUAGUACGAGAGGACCGGAGUGGACGCAUCACUGGUGUUCGGGUUGUCAUGCCAAUGGCACUGCCCGGUAGCUAAAUGCGGAAGAGAUAAGUGCUGAAAGCAUCUAAGCACGAAACUUGCCCCGAGAUGAGUUCUCCCUGAGACUUUAGGUCUCCUGAAGGAACGUUGAAGACGACGACGUUGAUAGGCCGGGUGUGUAAGCGCAGCGAUGCGUUGAGCUAACCGGUACUAAUGAACCGUGAGGCUUAACCUUACAACGCCGAAG
Molecule: ribosomal RNA, 3028 nt
Filed under: Salmonella enterica
Lineage: Bacteria; Pseudomonadati; Pseudomonadota; Gammaproteobacteria; Enterobacterales; Enterobacteriaceae
Description: 23S ribosomal RNA
Rfam family: Bacterial large subunit ribosomal RNA
Source: RNAcentral